Small nucleolar RNA from Ornithorhynchus anatinus (platypus), 137 nucleotides. NCBI's taxonomy places the organism in Eukaryota, Metazoa, Chordata, Mammalia, Monotremata, Ornithorhynchidae. The record is from RefSeq and is a predicted model, not a curated record.
CCCCUUUCAAGGUCGCAUCUGGAGAGUUUCCAGUCCUCUACCAGUCUCGACUACAGGAGGGAGAAUCAAGCAGGGGCAUACCCAUUCCAUUCCUAGCUUGGCCAGUGGCUAGUUGUGGAAGACAAUCCGCUACAAGU